UUGCACGCUGGCGGAAUGCUUUACACAUGCCAGUCGAGCGGCAGCACGGGGGCAACCCUGGUGGCGAGCGGCGAACGGGUGAGUAAUACAUCGGAACAUGCCCAGUCGUGGGGGAUAACACUUCGAAAGAAGUGCUAAUACCGCAUACGUCCUGAGGGGGAAAGCGGGGGAUCGCAAGACCUCGCGCGAUUGGAGUGGCCGAUGUCAGAUUAGCUAGUUGGUGGGGUAAAGGCCUACCAAGGCAACGAUCUGUAGCUGGUCUGAGAGGAUGAUCAGCCACACUGGGACUGAGACACGGCCCAGACUCCUACGGGAGGCAGCAGUGGGGAAUUUUGGACAAUGGGGGCAACCCUGAUCCAGCCAUUCCGCGUGAGUGAAGAAGGCCUUCGGGUUGUAAAGCUCUUUCGGCAGGAACGAAACGGUGAGCUCUAACAUAGCUUGCUAAUGACGGUACCUGAAGAAGAAGCACCGGCUAACUACGUG
RNAcentral lists this ribosomal RNA (483 nucleotides) under uncultured bacterium. Its description in RNAcentral is "partial 16S ribosomal RNA". It matches the Rfam family "Bacterial small subunit ribosomal RNA", at positions 30 to 507 of the family's 1533-position model. The record is from RNAcentral.